This 443-nucleotide ribosomal RNA is filed under the name uncultured bacterium. Its description in RNAcentral is "partial 16S ribosomal RNA". It matches the Rfam family "Bacterial small subunit ribosomal RNA", at positions 338 to 795 of the family's 1533-position model. The record is from RNAcentral.
CCUACGGGAGUCAGCAGUGGGGAAUAUUGGGCAAUGGGCGCAAGCCUGACCCAGCAACGCCGCGUGAAGGAAUAAUGCUCUCGGGUUGUAAACUUCUUUUGUCAGGGACGAAGCAAGUGACGGUACCUGACUAUUAAGCCACGGCUAACUACGUCCCAGCCGCCGCGGUAACACGUAGGUGGCAAGCGUGGUCCGGCAUUACUGGGUGUAAAGGGCGUGGAGGGGGGGGAGGAAGUCAGAUGGGAAAAACACGGGCUCAACCUGUGGCCUGCAUUUGACACUGGUUGUCUUGAGUGCGGGAGAGGCAAGCGGAAUGCGGGGUGUAGCGGUGAAAUGCGUAGAUAUACGGAGGAACACCAGUGGCGAAGGCAGAAUACUGGACAGCAACUGACGCUGAGGUGCGAAAGCGUGGGGAGCAAACAGGAUUAGAUACCCCGGUAGUC